CGUGGCUAACCUGCCCUUGGGACGGAAGAACCCCCGGGAAACUGGGGCUAAUUUCCGAUAGGUGAUGAUACCUGGAAUGGUUUUUUGCUCAAAGGGCGCUUAGGGCAUGCUUCUAGGCGUUGCCCAAGGAUGGGGCCGCGGCCGAUCAGGUUGUUGGUGAGGUAACGGCUCACCAAGCCUUUAACCGGUGCGGGCCGUGGGAGCGGAAGCCCGGAGAUGGGCACUGAGACAAGGGCCCAGGCCCUACGGGGCGCAGCAGUCGCGAAAAUUUCGCAAUAAGCGAAAGCUUGACGGAGCUAUCCCGAGUGCCAUCCGCUGAGGAUGGCUUUUCCCUAGUAUAGAUAGCUGGGGGAAUAAGGAGAGGGCAAGUCUGGUGUCAGCCGCCGCGGUAAUACCAGCUCUCCGAGUGGUUGGGAUGAUUGUUGGGCCUAAAGCAUCCGUAGCCGGCUGGGCAAGUCCCCUGUUAAACCCAAUGAUUUAAUCGUUGGUCUGCGGGGGAUACUGCUUGGCUAGGGGGCGAGAGAGGCCGUCGGUAUUCCCGGGGUAGGGGUGAAAUCCUAUAAUCCCGGGAGGACCACCAGUGGCGAAGGCUGUCGGCUAGAACGCGCCCGACGGUGAGGGAUGAAAGCUGGGGGAGCGAACCGGAUUAGAUACCCGGGUAGUCCCAGCUGU
Molecule: ribosomal RNA, 672 nt
Filed under: uncultured archaeon
Lineage: Archaea
Description: bacterial SSU rRNA
Rfam family: Archaeal small subunit ribosomal RNA
Source: RNAcentral